GCGACGCCGCGUGGGGGAAGAAGGCCUUCGGGUCGUAAACCCCUGUCAGGGAGGAAGAACCUCCUGCUGGUGAAUAGCCAGUGGGAGCUGACGGUACUCCCAGAGGAAGCCACGGCUAACUCCGUG
RNAcentral lists this ribosomal RNA (126 nucleotides) under uncultured bacterium. Its description in RNAcentral is "partial 16S ribosomal RNA". It matches the Rfam family "Bacterial small subunit ribosomal RNA", at positions 391 to 507 of the family's 1533-position model. The record is from RNAcentral.